This 433-nucleotide ribosomal RNA is filed under the name uncultured bacterium. RNAcentral describes it as "partial 16S ribosomal RNA". It matches the Rfam family "Bacterial small subunit ribosomal RNA", at positions 29 to 507 of the family's 1533-position model. The record is from RNAcentral.
AACGAACGCUGGCGGCAGGCCUAACACAUGCAAGUCGAGCGCGCCCUUCGGGGUGAGCGGCGGACGGGUGAGUAACGCGUGGGAACGUGCCCUUCUCUGCGGAAUAGCCUCGGGAAACUGAGAGUAAUACCGCAUACGCCCUUUGGGGGAAAGAUUUAUCGGAGAAGGAUCGGCCCGCGUUGGAUUAGGUAGUUGGUGGGGUAAUGGCCCACCAAGCCGACGAUCCAUAGCUGGUUUGAGAGGAUGAUCAUCCACACUGGGACUGAGACACGGCCCAGACUCCUACGGGAGGCAGCAGUGGGGAAUCUUAGACAAUGGGGGCAACCCUGAUCUAGCCAUGCCGCGUGAGUGAUGAAGGCCUUAGGGUUGUAAAGCUCUUUCAGCUGGGAAGAUAAUGACGGUACCAGCAGAAGAAGCCCCGGCUAACUCCGUG